ACAGUGGUGGUUCAGUAGUAGAAUUCUUGCCUUCCAUGCAGAAGGCCCAGGUUCAGUUCCUGGACAGUGCA
RNAcentral lists this transfer RNA (71 nucleotides) under Loxodonta africana (African savanna elephant). It matches the Rfam family "tRNA". Rfam says of the family: Transfer RNA (tRNA) molecules are approximately 80 nucleotides in length. Their secondary structure includes four short double-helical elements and three loops (D, anti-codon, and T loops). Lineage: Eukaryota; Metazoa; Chordata; Mammalia; Proboscidea; Elephantidae. The record is from Rfam by way of RNAcentral.